This 606-nucleotide long non-coding RNA is filed under the name Ricinus communis (castor bean). RNAcentral describes it as "long non-coding RNA (RCOM_LNC002142)". Lineage: Eukaryota; Viridiplantae; Streptophyta; Magnoliopsida; Malpighiales; Euphorbiaceae. The record is from RNAcentral.
UCGUUUCAGAAUUAGAAGUUUAUUCUUGCUUCUUAUCCUUCAAAGCAGGGAGAUAAGUCUUGCAGUUUCUUCUCUAAUGUACUUCCUUCCCAUAAUGGUGACACUUUCCUUUAUCCUUGUUGACACCUCCAAUAGCCUUUAAGGCUUUUUUAAGCUCAUGGGCUUUCUUUCUCUUUUUCUUAUUAUAUUUACUCUUAGCAGCCUUAGAAUGUUCUACCACUAGAACUACUCCAUUUUGCUUCUUUAUGGUGCCUCCGCAGUCUUUAACAUAUUAAUAAGUUCCAGUAUCGUAGUAUCCAACUUAUUCAUAUGAAAGUUCAUAACAAACUGCAAAUAACUGUGAGGUAGAGAUUGCAAAAUUAAGUCUAUACUAAAUUCAUGGUCCAUUUCAAAACCAAGACGCUCUAGAUGUUCAAUAUAUCCAAGUAUCUUUAGUCCAUGUGCAUUCACAGAUGCACCUUCAGCCAUCUUGCAUUGGAACAAUUCCUUUGAAGUCUCAUACCUUUCAGUCCUUAAUUACUCAUCAAACAUGUCUUUCAAAUGUAACAUGAUAGUUUGAGCAUCCAUAUUUCACGUUGUCUUUAUAGUUCGAAAGUCAUACUUCCU